ACAUUUGAUAAUUAUGAAUAUUUAAGAUUAUAUUUUUUAGCUUUAUGAACUUGCAUAAUUUGCCCAUACAUGAUUGGAUUGCUAAGAUAUAGUUUGUUAUUAUGUUUUUACAGUAAAAAUUUACUUUCCAAAUGGUGCAUUAAAUCAUGUAAAAAUUUAUAUUUAAUCCGAUAAGGUGGUGUAUGGUUACUUAUUGAGCAAUGAAGCUCAUUCGCCUCUUUAUAUUUUUUUAGAUAAUUAAGGUCGCUAGGAGUGGGGAUGAAAAAAAUGAAAUAAAGGACAUGAGAAUAAGCUCCAAGCAUAGUAGCAAGUUUCUCAUAUAUUUAGUUUAUGACUAUAAAAAUUUUGGGUUAUGUAGCUUUGAAGAUGUGUUGGAUUUAGAUGCGCUCUAGCCGCUUCUUCUUAAUUAAUGAAUGAAAAAACUUUGGACCACUUUUAUUAUUGAAUAAAUUUUAUACAGGUUUAUUAUUGUUGGCUUCGUGUUAUUGUGGGCAAUACCCGUGAUAGCAUGGCCAAGUCAUGCUCUGGAUCUGGGGCGUAGCACUUUAUAACCCAACUUUCAUAGUGUGUUUGCUGUAUGUUGAAGAUAAAAGGUCGCUGAUAUAUCAUUUACUUUAAGAAAGGUCAUUAUUUUAUCUCCAAGCAUAUGUCGAGGCACUUUUUUCCUUAUCCUACU
Molecule: long non-coding RNA, 676 nt
Filed under: Phoenix dactylifera (date palm)
Lineage: Eukaryota; Viridiplantae; Streptophyta; Magnoliopsida; Arecales; Arecaceae
Description: long non-coding RNA (PDAC_LNC013698)
Source: RNAcentral